UGUAUGGGGCGAGCGUUGUCCGGAAUUAUUGGGCGUAAAGGGUACGUAGGCGGUUUUUUAAGUCAGGUGUGAAAGCGUGAGGCUUAACCUCAUUAAGCACUUGAAACUGGAAGACUUGAGUGAAGGAGAGGAAAGUGGAAUUCCUAGUGUAGCGGUGAAAUGCGUAGAUAUUAGGAGGAAUACCGGUGGCGAAGGCGACUUUCUGGACUUUUACUGACGCUCAGGUACGAAGCGUGGGGAGCAAACAGGAUU
RNAcentral lists this ribosomal RNA (252 nucleotides) under uncultured bacterium. RNAcentral describes it as "partial 16S ribosomal RNA". It matches the Rfam family "Bacterial small subunit ribosomal RNA", at positions 526 to 779 of the family's 1533-position model. The record is from RNAcentral.